RNAcentral lists this ribosomal RNA (336 nucleotides) under uncultured bacterium. RNAcentral's name for it is "bacterial SSU rRNA". It matches the Rfam family "Bacterial small subunit ribosomal RNA", at positions 355 to 708 of the family's 1533-position model. The record is from RNAcentral.
UAGGGAAUAUUGCAAAUGGGCGAAAGCCUGAUGUAGCAACGCCGCGUGUGCGAUGAAGGUCUUCGGAUUGUAAAGCACUUUUUGGAGGGAUGAGGAAGGACAGUACCUCCAGAAUAAGCCUCGGCUAACUACGUGCCAGCAGCCGCGGUAACACGUAGGCGGCAAGCGUUAUUCGGAUUUACUGUGCGUAAAGCGCGUGCAGGCGGUUUGGAAAGUUGGAUGUGAAAGCUCCUGGCUCAACUGGGAGAGGUCGUUCAAAACUUCCAGACUUGAGAGUGGUAGAGGGAGGUGGAAUUCCGGGUGUAGUGGUGAAAUGCGUAGAUAUACGGAGGAACA